This 482-nucleotide ribosomal RNA is filed under the name uncultured bacterium. RNAcentral's name for it is "partial 16S ribosomal RNA". It matches the Rfam family "Bacterial small subunit ribosomal RNA", at positions 30 to 507 of the family's 1533-position model. The record is from RNAcentral.
AUUGAACGCUGGCGGCAUGCUUUACACAUGCAAGUCGAACGGUAACAGGCCGCAAGGUGCUGACGAGUGGCGAACGGGUGCGUAAUGCAUCGGAACGUGCCCAGUCGUUGGGGAUAACUACUCGAAAGAGUAGCUAAUACCGCAUACGAUCUAUGGAUGAAAGCGGGGGACCGUAAGGCCUCGCGCGAUUGGAGCGGCCGCUGUCAGAUUAGGUAGUUGGUGGGGUAAAGGCUCACCAAGCCAACGAUCUGUAGCUGGUCUGAGAGGAUGACCAGCCACACUGGGACUGAGACACGGCCCAGACUCCUACGGGAGGCAGCAGUGGGGAAUUUUGGACAAUGGGCGCAAGCCUGAUCCAGCAAUGCCGCGUGCAGGAAGAAGGCCUUCGGGUUGUAAACUGCUUUUGUACGGAACGAAACGGCUCUGGUUAAUACCCGGGGCUAAUGACGGUACCGUAAGAAUAAGCACCGGCUAACUACGUG